GGUUCCAUAGUGUAGCAGUUAGCACGUCUGCUUUAGAUGCAGAAGGUCCUGGGUUUGCACCCCAGUGGAGCCA
RNAcentral lists this transfer RNA (73 nucleotides) under Pteropus alecto (black flying fox). It matches the Rfam family "tRNA". From Rfam's summary of the family: Transfer RNA (tRNA) molecules are approximately 80 nucleotides in length. Their secondary structure includes four short double-helical elements and three loops (D, anti-codon, and T loops). Further hydrogen bonds mediate the characteristic L-shaped molecular structure. tRNAs have two regions of fundamental functional importance: the anti-codon, which is responsible for specific mRNA codon recognition, and the 3' end, to which the tRNAs corresponding amino acid is attached (by aminoacyl-tRNA synthetases). tRNAs cope with the degeneracy of the genetic code in two manners: having more than one tRNA (with a specific anti-codon) for a particular amino acid; and 'wobble' base-pairing, i.e. permitting non-standard base-pairing at the 3rd anti-codon position. The record is from Rfam by way of RNAcentral. Lineage: Eukaryota; Metazoa; Chordata; Mammalia; Chiroptera; Pteropodidae.